Molecule: unclassified non-coding RNA, 3642 nt
Filed under: Priapulus caudatus
Lineage: Eukaryota; Metazoa; Priapulida; Priapulimorpha; Priapulimorphida; Priapulidae
Description: zinc finger protein 226-like, transcript variant X3
Source: RNAcentral
UCGCCCGUUGUUUUGUUGUGGUAUGAUCGGGAAACUGUUAUAGGUUAUUUAUAUCUUGCUCUCAUGUUGUAGUCUUUCCAAAAUCACGUGAGAAUGUCCUAGGAGUAAGCACACGCAAUGAGGGCGAGUUUGAAAUUCCUUGACAAUUAUUGGCAAGGCCAAGCGAAUCCUCGGUCAUAGGUAGACACAGGUAAUCGUUGAAUAUUACCGAGUCAAUUCACAGGUGAGCAGAACAUCACAAAAUGGCAGACGGGACCGGAUCGCAGACGAGUCCCGGCGCGGAGAACUCGCACCACAAGUACCUGUACCUGACCGUCGACCCGCAGAGCGGUGCCGGGAAGCUUACCGCGUCGGGGAAACCCAACGGAGCGGCGGCAGCAGCGGCGGCGGCGGCGCACGCCUGCGACCAACCCGCCGAGCACAUCUGCUACAAGUGCGGCGUCGCGUUCCUGACGCGCGACAGCCUGCAGACGCACGUCGACGCACACGCCACAUACGAGUCGAUGCGCUACAGCUGCGGCAUGUGCCUCAGCCAGCUGCCGUCGCUGCAGACAAUGAUCGAGCACACCAAGGUCGUCGUGUGCACGCAGUGCAACAUGGCGUAUCCGUGUGUGCGGCACGCGCGCGCACACAUGAAGUGCCACCCGGCGCGCGGGCCGCGCGUCUCCAUACCGCGCGUCAACUCAACGGUGCCGACGCCCGCGCCAACGCCGCCGCUGGCGCCACCUGCGCAGAUGCUGCAGAGCGCGCCGGCGGUGUCGUCGAGUCGGAUCAUCUCGAUCACGCCACGGUCGACCGUCGUCGGCGAGCAGGCGGGCAUGGUGGCGCCACUAAACUUGCAGACUAGGAGCGCCGCGUACGGGCGUCCGACCUCUAGUCAACCUCAGGUCGUCGCUACCGACUCCCUUCCCGUUGCCGAGGUGAUGAUCACCGUGAAGCCAGACCCUGAUGCGCCGACGUCAGCCUCCCACGUUGCCGACGGCAGCCCAGACGGCGGGCCGACGGGCGAGGAUGGCGACGACGGCGACGCACAUGGCAAGCCGCACCGCUGCAACAACUGCGGCAUCUCGUACAAGCACGCGAACCACCUCAGCAACCACAUGAAGACGCACACGCAGGACCUGCCCUACAAAUGCCACAUAUGCGGUCUGGGAUUCGUCGUGAACUUCAAGUACCAGCGGCACAUGCAAAAGUUUCAUAGCGGCGAGACGAUGCACGAUCGGCCCUUCAAGUGCGACGUGUGCGGCUCGGGCUUCAAGCAGCGUAAUCACCUUGUGCAGCACAACAGAACCCAUACCGGAGAGAAACCCUAUAAGUGCGGAGUCUGCGGAACAGCAUUUGCGCUCCUGGGCAAUCUCAACUACCACAUGCGUAUCCAUGGAAACCUGAAGCCAUACAACUGCGAUGUCUGCUGCCAGUCAUUCCGCUCCUCCACGCAUUUGAAGCACCACUUCUCACGCAUCCACAAAGGCAUCGUUAAUCGCAACUAUUCGAAAACUAGUCAAGGUGCCUCACAGCCGGCCGACAUCGCUCUCUUCCCGACGAAUCUCGUGAACCCGCUCGAAGGAAACCCGAUCGACGCCAACGACAGCUCGGAGGAUGCUGCCGAGCCGUCUGGUCGCCACGGCGACGGCGACGACGAGCUCAUGGAGGCAGAGCACGACGACGAGGAUAGCAAGAUUCUGCAGGAGAUCCUGCGCGAGGGCGAGGUGCCGGAUAUAGCUGGCUCGGUGUAGCACGCGCGUGAGAGGUAGCGUGCAUGUGGGAGUUAUUGUCUAGCACAAUGUGACGCUCACGUGGGAGGGACUGUCCAGUUUGGUGUAGUGCACACGUAGGAGGCAUGACCAAUAUGAUGUGACACACACGUGGGAGGUACUGUCCAUUUCGAUGUAGUGCACACGUGGGAGGUACUGACCAGCACGAUGUGAUGCGCACGUGGGGGCACUGACCAUCACAAUGUGACACACACGUGUGAGGCAAUGUCCAGUUAAAUCUGACACGCACAUUGGAGGUACUGUUCAGCACGAUGUGACACGCACAUUGGAGGUACUGUCCAGCACGAUGUGACGCGCACGUGGGAGGUAAUGACCAGCACGAUGUGACACGCACGUGGGAGGUAAUGACCAGCACGAUGUGACACUCACGUGGGAGGUACUGACCAGCACGAUGUGACACGCACGUGGGAGGUACUAUCCAGCACGAUGUGACACGCACGUGGGAGGUACUGUUCAGCACGAUGUGACGCGCACGUGGGAGGUACUAUCCAGCACGAUGUGACGCGCACGUGGGAGGCACUGUCCAGCACGAUGUGACGCGCACGUGGGAGGCACUGUCCAGCACGAUGUGACACGCACGUGGGAGGUACUGACCAGCACGAUGUGACGCGCACGUGGGAGGUACUGACCAGCACGAUGUGACACUCGCGUGGGAGGUACUAUCCAGCAUGGUGUGACGUCGCGUGGGAGGAAUGUGUACUCGUUGGUGCAAUCUAAUGCAUAUAGGGAAGAUGCUGUCGCUAUGUAGCGCGAAUGGAAUGUCAUAGUGUGGCGUGAGCUAACGUGGAAGGUACCACUGCGACGUAGCGAUCACGUGCAAGGUUCUGUCACUAAACAGCGUGCAAGUAGUGAGUGCUGAUGCAGUCUACUGUGCACAUGGGGUAAUCCUGGAUCUAACUUGUCGACCGUAAUAUACGUGUGCGAAGUGCAUAGCCAAGUUUACUUGCGAAUCCAACGAACACACAAAUCUGUUAUCAUAAUGCGUAUGCUUGAAUAUUAUGUAUGAUCUAUAUGAAUUGUGUAUAAUAUAUACACUAGAUUUAUAUAUAUUUUUGAAUGUUAAAACAAGAUCGACUAAAUAUGUAGUUCAGUCAGUACAGUCGCACAUGUCAGUUUGUGAGCUUGUGAGUUUGUGAGCAGAUUUGAAUGGAUGUAUGUUUUUGCGAACUAACACGUUCGCUGUGUGUUGCAUGUUAGGGCAAACAUACACUCUGAGUCUCCACCCACACACGUUUCAAUACGAUUCAAAUACGUUUACCUACCUGUAUGUGAAACCCGCCAGGUAGUUUCCUAGCAUGUUUCGUAUGUUUGGAAUAGAUAGCAAACAUGUUUGCCUAGUGAAACGCGGUUUGGGUGCCGUGUGUUUUAGUAAAUUAUCAAAGGAUUAUUAGUUCGAUAUGUUGCAUUUUAGUGAUGCGUGUAGAGUUGUACCGACAGUCAUUUCAUAUUGUCAUACACCACCAAAUGUAUAUAUUUAUUAAUGUUUAUCUUUAAAUCUCAGUAAAAUGUGGACAUGUAAAUUCAGUAGCACUUUAUUGUGUAAGUGAUUGUUUUAUGUUUUAUGUUUUGUGUUAAGGUUGGAUGGAAGAAUCCUUUUGUAUCAUCGCGUUUUUAAAAGGUUUAAAUAGGCUGAUUUGACUGUAUAUCUGAACACAUAAUCAAGUAUUCUGUAUAAAGCUGCGCCAGUGCUGAGUAGCAUAAUAAAGCACGAGGUCAAUAAAGUAAGUAGGUUGAUUUAUGUCUAGUAGCGUACCGGUAUUCAUGUUAUUAUAUAUAUGUAUGUAUAUGGAUAUAAUGGUACAUGUGAUUUAGAUCUUUGUUAGAUGUCAUUGUUUUGUGGAUUAAUAAUAAUGUCGUGCCAACCGAA